This 492-nucleotide ribosomal RNA is filed under the name uncultured bacterium. RNAcentral describes it as "partial 16S ribosomal RNA". It matches the Rfam family "Bacterial small subunit ribosomal RNA", at positions 29 to 507 of the family's 1533-position model. The record is from RNAcentral.
AGUGAACGCUGGCGGUAGGCCUAACACAUGCAAGUCGAACGGCAGCACAGUAAGAGCUUGCUCUUACGGGUGGCGAGUGGCGGACGGGUGAGGAAUACAUCGGAAUCUACUUUUUCGCGGGGGAUAACGUAGGGAAACUUACGCUAAUACCGCAUACGACCUACGGGUGAAAGCAGGGGAUCUUCGGACCUUGCGCGAUUGAAUGAGCCGAUGUCGGAUUAGCUAGUUGGCGGGGUAAAGGCCCACCAAGGCGACGAUCCGUAGCUGGUCUGAGAGGAUGAUCAGCCACACUGGAACGGAGACACGGUCCAGACUCCUACGGGAGGCAGCAGUGGGGAAUAUUGGACAAUGGGCGCAAGCCUGAUCCAGCCAUACCGCGUGGGUGAAGAAGGCCUUCGGGUUGUAAAGCCCUUUUGUUGGGAAAGAAAAGCAGCAGGUUAAUACCCCGCUGUUCUGACGGUACCCAAAGAAUAAGCACCGGCUAACUUCGUG